RNAcentral lists this ribosomal RNA (489 nucleotides) under uncultured bacterium. RNAcentral's name for it is "bacterial SSU rRNA". It matches the Rfam family "Bacterial small subunit ribosomal RNA", at positions 17 to 507 of the family's 1533-position model. The record is from RNAcentral.
UCAUGGCUCAGAUUGAACGCUGGCGGCAUGCCUUACACAUGCAAGUCGAACGGCAGCGGGCCUUCGGGGUGCCGGCGAGUGGCGAACGGGUGAGUAAUGCAUCGGAACGUGCCAUUGAGUGGGGAUAACGUAGCGAAAGUUACGCUAAUACCGCAUAUUCUGUGAGCAGGAAAGCAGGGGACCGCAAGGCCUUGCGCUCUUUGAGCGGCCGAUGUCAGAUUAGCUAGUUGGUGAGGUAAAGGCUUACCAAGGCGACGAUCUGUAGCGGGUCUGAGAGGAUGAUCCGCCACACUGGAACUGAGACACGGUCCAGACUCCUACGGGAGGCAGCAGUGGGGAAUUUUGGACAAUGGGCGCAAGCCUGAUCCAGCCAUGCCGCGUGAGCGAUGAAGGCCUUCGGGUCGUAAAGCUCUGUGGGGAGAGACGAAGAAAGCCCGUGAAGAGCGGGCCUUGACGGUAUCUCCUUAGCAAGCACCGGCUAACUCCGUG